ACCGAUGUCGGCGGUCACAGUUGACUCAAUUAUUCGAUGCUAAUUUGAGAGGUCGACUUUAACUGACGGUUUUAAUGCUUCACGGUUCUGUCACCGGCAACACUACCUCCCCACCCAAAUCGAUCGAAAAUCGAGGGGAAGGGUGAAAUUUCAUUUUUAGCCUAUUUAAUCCAUUUUUGUCUUCUGUCUUUUUCCCGAUUGUUGUAUACACUUAUCAAAUGAACCCCCUUUUUUCCCUUUGAAACACUAAAAACCUUCUUGGCUUUUUCCUCGGUCCUCAUCAAUUGCCGUCGUCCACCCCUUGUUACCGUUGCGGUCCUCCUCACCAGUCGUCGAUCGUCUCUUGCAGUUGCUGUCAUCUACUCAUCUUCCUUUUGUUCAAGCCUCAAGAGAACUUGUAUUCUCGCUGCAGCAAGAAACUUUCUGACUUGCCAAUGUAGUCAAGUCCAUCCACCCUCCAACCGAUCGAAAUCGACCGAAACCAAAGUCAGUUUCAAUUGAUCGAUUUUCCUUUACAACCGAUCAAUCUCGGUUGAUUGUAAGGAACUUCGAUUUCUGUUAGUUUUAGUUUCUAUCGAAACCAAAACCGAUCGAUGCUCACCUCUAAAUGUAGCGUAUCAGACCCCUCUUGCUUGCAGGGCCAGCACUCUUACCGUUUAAGCUAUAUCCCCUCAACAUAGAAGGUAAUCAAGACUGGAUUUCUCUGUUAUUUGCUUAUGGAUAAUAGAUACCAAUUUGGAGCAAGUUCUAAAUCAGCCUUUAGAAGCUUAAGACACAAAGAACUUAGUCAUGCACUGUUUAAAUCACCCAAUUAUGAAUUGAUCAUUAUAAUGCUUUGAUCCCAGUAAUCCGCCCAUUAUUCUGCCAUUCCAAAAAAAAAAAAAUCUACCCAUUGUCCUUGAGGUUUGUUGAAGUUUAUGAUUCUAGUAGCUGAAGGUUCAAAUAAAGGCACAAAUCAACAGCAUUGAAGGAGAAGACUAAAGGGCGAAGACUAAAGGGCGUUAUACGGCAUCGUUUUGCUUCUUUUCCUUUCAUGUUAAAACGCAACCUGUAGUGUCAUUUUUUUUUGUUAUGUUUUUUAGUUGCUUAAGUCUUACAACUUAGCUUAUUGUCAUUUCAUGAGUCUGUUUGUUAAGCCAAUAAAGGCCAUGUGUUCAUAACUUUUGUUUCUUCUUUAGCUGUUAAGAACCGUUGCCGGCAUAAAAUUCAAUGCUUUCAAUAUUGUGCUCAGCUGUUUUUCUCAUGUUUUCCUCUUGUUAUAGAUCCGAGCUUGGGGGAAGAAAUUGUAAUCUCGAGGCAAGAAUUAGUAUAUAUGCAAAAGAUGAAAUAGGAAUC
Molecule: non-coding RNA, 1335 nt
Organism: Theobroma cacao (cacao)
Lineage: Eukaryota; Viridiplantae; Streptophyta; Magnoliopsida; Malvales; Malvaceae
Source: RefSeq, a predicted model, not a curated record